UACGUAGGUGGCAAGCGUUGUCCGGAUUUAUUGGGCGUAAAGCGCUCGCAGGCGGCCUGAUGCGUCGUGCGUGAAAUCCCUCGGCUCAACUGGGGGUGGUCGUGCGAUACGGUCAGGCUUGAGGCCAGUAGGGGGACGCGGAAUUCCGGGUGUAGUGGUGGAAUGCGUAGAGAUCCGGAGGAACACCAGCGGCGAAGGCGGCGUCCUGGACUGGUACUGACGCUCAGGAGCGAAAGCGUGGGGAGCGAUCAGG
RNAcentral lists this ribosomal RNA (253 nucleotides) under uncultured bacterium. RNAcentral's name for it is "partial 16S ribosomal RNA". It matches the Rfam family "Bacterial small subunit ribosomal RNA", at positions 524 to 776 of the family's 1533-position model. The record is from RNAcentral.